Molecule: long non-coding RNA, 368 nt
Organism: Oreochromis aureus
Lineage: Eukaryota; Metazoa; Chordata; Actinopteri; Cichliformes; Cichlidae
Exons: 3
Source: RefSeq, a predicted model, not a curated record
CGCGCGCGGCAGGAAAAGGAAGAGGUGAAAAAAAUAACAGACACAAAAAAGCUGGCUCUCUCCUGCUUUAAAGAAAGACUAAAAGACUUUAGAGUGAGUGAUGAAGGAGACGUGAUGGAUGAGAGGGAAGUUGCAAUCUUGGCAGCUGCUUCCUAUGAAAAAUAAAAUAGAGAGACAGACAUAAGCUGCCAACAAAGUGAGACAGAACAAAGAUGUCAUUAUAGAAGAGUAACAGGGGGCCGACGGGCAGCGUGGACACCUAAAUUUGUGAAUGCGAUGACUAGAGAAUGAGGCAACAAAGAAUCAUACAGUAAGUGCAGUUUCACAGCUGAGGUCUCUGCAAGGUGAUUUACUGGCUGUGUAUUGUU